Monopterus albus (swamp eel) is the source of this 1682-nucleotide long non-coding RNA. RefSeq lists it as uncharacterized. NCBI's taxonomy places the organism in Eukaryota, Metazoa, Chordata, Actinopteri, Synbranchiformes, Synbranchidae. The transcript is spliced from 2 exons. The record is from RefSeq and is a predicted model, not a curated record.
AUAACCGAUACAUAACUCUACCUUCGUACUCGUGGAUGUAUGAAGAAGCAUAUAGCGUAAACCCCUUAUCCAGCUUGCUGCCCGGUGUUUUAGACGUCGAACUGCAUAUUCUGUGGACAUCCAUGAUCUUCAUCUUUGGUAGUUCUUGGAGACAUCUUGAGUAGAACAGUGCCAUAUUUCAUACUAGUCGCAAACCGGAAACUGAUGAUUCUGUUUUGCAGUAUACGGAAGUAUAACCCCUAUAGACGCUGCCUCCAUUUUGAAAAAGAUGGAACAAAGUCUAAAAAUGUAACGGUAUAGUAGGCAGCUCUCCAUGUGUCUAAAUGUGCUGAUGAUCUACUAAUGAGUGGAAUAAUAAAUAUAUGAACAGUAAUAUUUGGUAUGUACUCCGAGCAACAGGGUCAAAGCAGGAAAUGCAGCAAUCAUCACAGAUAACAGUGGAGGUUAGAGACAAGUGUCCCACAGCUGAUUGGAACCACCUACCAGGUACAUUACCUGUCUGGUCGGAACCCUGGGAGGUCUUGUUCUUUCAAGAGGUUCCUGGAUUCUUCUGGUCUGCGAAACAAUGUUGGUCCUCCAAGGAGUGCCUUUUUUUUCUUGAUAUGCUUCAUAUUUCAUAGAUCAGCAUUGUACUACAUUCAAAUAUAAAAUUACAUCACACUGAAAUGACAGGUCAAGGGAUACCAAAAGUAAUCUAUUCUUUCAAAAAGGGGCCUUAAUUUUCCAUAGAGCGAAAAUUCAGUGGUGGCUUUACUAUAUUGUAUUUUGUUUAAUUGGCACUUCAUCCAUUUUAAGGGGGUUCAGCCUUAAAACAUAUACUUAAUGUGAUCAUCUAUUAAUUCAUCCAUUCAUUAAUCCCAAUUCUAGGGACAAUCUUCUAUAAUUUACAAAGCAAAAAAGCCACCCAUACAUUUGAGCUUUUAAGGAAAUGAUCAUUUUAGAAAACAUUAAUUUUUUUUUAUAGUAUGUCUUUCUUGGUCAGUUUUGAGCUUUAACCCAUAAUCCAAAUUAAAACAUUAAAAACCAUACAAUAUUGGAUGUCCACUGCACACUUGAUGUAAUUAUGGUUCCAUUGUUAAGAAAAAUCAUGAGUGGGUUUAUUCUGAAUGUCUGCAUUAUGGUUCCUAAGGGUUUUUUUUUAAGAGGUUUACAAAUGCUGUACACUGAGAAUAGUUAGAAAAGAAAGACCCGAUCCAUUGUUGUGGCCCACUAACACAGAGCCUGUCAGUCAACCAAAACCUUUCCAAGAUGGAUAUGAAUUCCAUAUUAUCUUAUUGCUAUAUUGCAUUUAUAUAUUGUUACAUUUGCAUUCAUUGUUCCAUCAUCACAGUACAGCCUUUACAACCAAAAUCCAAAAGAUAUUCAACUAUAGGAAGACGACAUUGACAGGUGACGUUAUAUGGCUUAAAACAGGCACUGGUGUGUUCUAUUUAAAGCGGACAUCAACUUUAAAGUGCUAUGACAAUGUCCCCAUCUAGUGGUGAAAUAGUACUCAUGAACCAUGCAGCAGUAAAUCCAUUUGACUUUAUUUUUCUUUUACAUGAACAUAAAAAAAAAAAACAUUUUUAGAAGUUAUGCAAUUAGAAACUGGCUUUCAAAGUACAAAUAACAUGUAAAAGGGGGUUGAUUAAAAAUGUAGGUUUUUAAUAUAGAAACAUUUCAAGUUAAAGCAGUGUUGAAGU